CUCAUCAUGACACAGGUGUUGACUUACACUUUUGAUCUAAUUGAGGACAAAGGAGGGCUUGUUUUGUGUGUCUAGAGUAUAUGUGUGUGUGUGUGCCCAUGUGUCUUUUCAUGUUUAUGUGUGAGCAUGUGUGUGCGUGCACGCAUAUUAAGUCAGAGGUCAACUUUGAGUGUCGUCUUCUCUCUCUUCCUAUUCUUUAUGGAGUUGGGAUUUCUCACUGAACCUGGAACUCAUCAGUUCAGCUGGACUGGCUAAGCAAUGAACCAGAUAUCAUUGUGUCUCUGACUCACCGGCACUGAGAUUCCAGUAAUGCACCUUCAUGAAUGGCUUUUAGUAAUGUUUAAAAUGGAAGUUUAUGCAUACUGCUGCAUUUCCCAGAACUUCACCCCUUUAAAUGGCCCUGAGAGCAGAGUUGGUGAUGAGGAUAGAGCAGAACAUCUGGCUCAGAGUCACCACUGGCAGCCCUUAGUGACCAGUGGAUUUUCACUUAUGGAAAUAGAUCCUCUUCAUUUCUGCCUGAGAAGACACAGUGAAUGGUAACAUGAUGACGUUUCACACAGACCAGGAACAGGGAACUUGAAAGUUUAGUCCGAUGUCACAAUGUCUGAGGAAAGAAAAAUAUGCCUUGAGGGUUCCACACCACUAAAUGUGGCCAUAAGGUAGUAUUGUGUCAACUUAACACAAGCUAUAGUCAUCAGAGGAAGGAGCCUCAGCUGAGAAAAUGCCUCCUGGAGACCCAGCUGGGGAUUGGAUUUAGUGACCAUGGAGAAGUCAAACACAUGGACUCAUGGACUCUUGGCCUCCCAUCUCAGUGUCAACUGAGUCUUCUUUGAACCUGCCAAGGUUUUUCCCCCCUUCAUGAGAAUGAAGACAAAAACAAAAACAGAGGGGAUGGGAGAUGCCUUGCUCUGUUGAGCAACAGGAAGUCGUGUGAAAACCUGUUUGCUCUCUCUGCUGUGAAGAAGAUUGCUGAAGAGACACAACCCUGCACUCUGCUAUGUAAACCACCUACAGAAGUGGCAGGGGUCAUCGUGGGAAAAGAAGGAGUGCCUUGGACCCAAAGUGACAAGAGUCAAUGCAUUCAGUCAUCUCUAGAUGAAAGGGAAACCAUUGAGCACUCAGUUAUAUCAGGGGUUUUGAUAUUUUCUUCCUGUUUUUGUCCCCCUCCUCUCUCUCUCUCU
Molecule: long non-coding RNA, 1181 nt
Filed under: Cricetulus griseus (Chinese hamster)
Lineage: Eukaryota; Metazoa; Chordata; Mammalia; Rodentia; Cricetidae
Description: lncRNA (ENSCGRG00015037977.1)
Source: RNAcentral